AUACGUAGGUGACAAGCGUUAUCCGGAUUUACUGGGCGUAAAGGGCGUGUAGGCGGUCUUGCAAGUCAGAAGUGAAAUUCCUGAGCUCAACUCGGGCGCUGCUUCUGAAACUGCAGGACUUGAGUGCUGGAGGGGAUAGCGGAAUUCCUAGUGGAGCGGUAAAAUGCGCAGAUAUUAGGAAGAACACCGGUGGCGAAGGCGUCUAUCUGGACAGGAACUGACGCUGAGGCACGAAAGCGUGGGGAGCAAACAGGAUUAGAUACCCUGGUAGUCCACGCCAUAAACGAUGAAUACUAGGUGUAGGGGGUAUCGACUCCCUCUGUGCCGCAGUUAACGCAUUAAGUAAUCCACCUGGGGAGUACGGCCGCAAGGUUAAAACUCAAAUGAAUUGACGGGG
Molecule: ribosomal RNA, 397 nt
Filed under: uncultured bacterium
Lineage: Bacteria
Description: partial 16S ribosomal RNA
Rfam family: Bacterial small subunit ribosomal RNA
Source: RNAcentral